GAUGAACGCUGGCUACAGGCUUAACACAUGCAAGUCGAGGGGAAACGACGGGGAAGCUUGCUUCCCCGGGCGUCGACCGGCGCACGGGUGAGUAACGCGUAUCCAACCUGCCUCUGACUGAGGGAUAACCCGUCGCAAGUCGGCCUAAUACCUCAUGGCAUCGUCUGCGGGCAUCCAACGACGAUUAAAGAUUUCAUCGGUCAGGGAUGGGGAUGCGUCUGAUUAGCUUGUUGGCGGGGUAACGGCCCACCAAGGCCACAAUCAGUAGGGGUUCUGAGAGGAAGGUCCCCCACAUUGGAACUGAGACACGGUCCAAAGUCCUACGGGAGGCAGCAGUGAGGAAUAGUGGUCAAUGGGCGGGAGCCUGAACCAACCAAGUAGCGUGCAGGAUGACGGCCCUAUGGGUUGUAAACUGCUUUUAUGCGGGGAUAAAGUGAGGGACGUGUCCUUCAUUGCAGGUACCGCAUGAAUAAGGACCGGCUAAUUCCGUG
Molecule: ribosomal RNA, 491 nt
Filed under: uncultured bacterium
Lineage: Bacteria
Description: partial 16S ribosomal RNA
Rfam family: Bacterial small subunit ribosomal RNA
Source: RNAcentral